UUGAACUGAAGAGUUUGAUCCUGGCUCAGAUUGAACGCUGGCGGCAUGCCUUACACAUGCAAGUCGAACGGCAGCACGGGUGCUUGCACCUGGUGGCGAGUGGCGAACGGGUGAGUAAUACAUCGGAACAUGUCCUGUAGUGGGGGAUAGCCCGGCGAAAGCCGGAUUAAUACCGCAUACGAUCUACGGAUGAAAGCGGGGGACCUUCGGGCCUCGCGCUAUAGGGUUGGCCGAUGGCUGAUUAGCUAGUUGGUGGGGUAAAGGCCUACCAAGGCGACGAUCAGUAGCUGGUCUGAGAGGACGACCAGCCACACUGGGACUGAGACACGGCCCAGACUCCUACGGGAGGCAGCAGUGGGGAAUUUUGGACAAUGGGCGAAAGCCUGAUCCAGCAAUGCCGCGUGUGUGAAGAAGGCCUUCGGGUUGUAAAGCACUUUUGUCCGGAAAGAAAUCCCUGGCUCUAAUACAG
RNAcentral lists this ribosomal RNA (469 nucleotides) under Burkholderia anthina. Its description in RNAcentral is "bacterial SSU rRNA". It matches the Rfam family "Bacterial small subunit ribosomal RNA", at positions 1 to 466 of the family's 1533-position model. The record is from RNAcentral. Lineage: Bacteria; Pseudomonadati; Pseudomonadota; Betaproteobacteria; Burkholderiales; Burkholderiaceae.